Molecule: ribosomal RNA, 214 nt
Filed under: Janthinobacterium sp. NKUCC08_JDC
Lineage: Bacteria; Pseudomonadati; Pseudomonadota; Betaproteobacteria; Burkholderiales; Oxalobacteraceae
Description: partial 23S ribosomal RNA
Rfam family: Bacterial large subunit ribosomal RNA
Source: RNAcentral
AUGGGGGGACGGAUCGCGGAAGGUUGUCUGACUGUUGGAAUAGUCAGUUUCUGUCUCAUAGAAGGCGCUUAGGCAAAUCCGGGCGCGGAAUUCAAGGGGAUGGGACGAGUGAACUUGUUCACGAAGCAAUCGGAAGUGGUUCCAAGAAAAGCCUCUAAGCUUCAGUCAUACGAGACCGUACCGCAAACCGACACAGGUGGGCGAGAUGAGUAUU